Molecule: ribosomal RNA, 492 nt
Filed under: uncultured bacterium
Lineage: Bacteria
Description: bacterial SSU rRNA
Rfam family: Bacterial small subunit ribosomal RNA
Source: RNAcentral
CAGGAUGAACGCUGGCGGCGUGCUUAACACAUGCAAGUCGAACGAAGCAGCUUGAAGGAGACCUAGUCAAUGGAUAAGCUGACUUAGUGGCGGACGGGUGAGUAACGCGUGGGCAACCUGCCUCAUGGAGGGGGACAACAGUUGGAAACGACUGCUAAUACCGCAUAAGACCAAGCAUCGCAUGAUGCAAUGGUAAAAAGAUUUAUCGCCAUGAGAUGGACCCGCGUUAGAUUAGCUAGUUGGUGAGGUAACGGCUCACCAAGGCGACGAUCUAUAGCCGACCUGAGAGGGUGAUCGGCCACAUUGGGACUGAGACACGGCCCAAACUCCUACGGGAGGCAGCAGUGGGGAAUAUUGGACAAUGGGGGAAACCCUGAUCCCAGCGACGCCGCGUGAGUGAAGAAGUAUUUCGGUAUGUAAAGCUCUAUCAGCAGGGAAGAAAAUGACGGUACCUGACUAAGAAGCCCCGGCUAACUACGUGCCAGCCGCAGC